AGUGAACGCUGGCGGUAGGCCUAACACAUGCAAGUCGAACGGCAGCACAGUAAGAGCUUGCUCUUACGGGUGGCGAGUGGCGGACGGGUGAGGAAUACAUCGGAAUCUACUUUUUCGUGGGGGAUAACGUAGGGAAACUUACGCUAAUACCGCAUACGACCUACGGGUGAAAGCAGGGGAUCUUCGGACCUUGCGCGAUUGAAUGAGCCGAUGUCGGAUUAGCUAGUUGGCGGGGUAAAGGCCCACCAAGGCGACGAUCCGUAGCUGGUCUGAGAGGAUGAACAGCCACACGGGAACUGGGGAACGGGCCAGCCCCCUAGGGGGGGCAGCAGGGGGAAAAUUUGGAAAAUGGGGCCAAGCCUGUUCCACCCAUACCGGGUGGGUGAAGAAGGCCUGCGGGUUGUAAAGCCCUUUUUUGGGGAAAGAAAAGCAGCGGGUUAACCCCCCGUUGUUCGGAGGGUACCAAAAAAAUAAACACCGGCGAAUUUCGU
This 491-nucleotide ribosomal RNA is filed under the name uncultured bacterium. RNAcentral's name for it is "partial 16S ribosomal RNA". It matches the Rfam family "Bacterial small subunit ribosomal RNA", at positions 29 to 506 of the family's 1533-position model. The record is from RNAcentral.